Molecule: long non-coding RNA, 639 nt
Filed under: Polistes fuscatus (common paper wasp)
Lineage: Eukaryota; Metazoa; Arthropoda; Insecta; Hymenoptera; Vespidae
Description: uncharacterized LOC122514385
Source: RNAcentral
ACAAACGAGAUAGAAAGAUAUUGGUUGUUACAUAAGUUCGUUCGUAUUUUGGCGCGCAGAUAUUGACGCCUAUUUGACGGAAAAUAUUUAGGUGGAGGGGAUAUUUUCGUAACGUCAGUUGCGUAGUGUACACUUGUGGCUACAUUUUAGUGUCAAAUUUAUUUAAUUUUGCUACUUAGUUUGUGAUCACGUGUAUAGUCAAAUGGAAGAGGAAAAUGAGCAUUUUCGGCAUAUUAUGAUGUAUUACUUUCGAAAAGGGAAAAACGCAACCCAAGCAGCGAAAAAAAUAUGCGUCGUACAAAAGUGGUAUGCCAGGUUCAGAAGCGGACAAUUCAGCCUUAAGGGUUGCGAGCGCUUCGGCAAAAACGAAGCCUUCUGGAGAGAUGGCAUUAUGCAAUUGCCUGAACUUUGGGUCAGAGUGAUACAAAAUAAUGGACAAUACAGUUAAUAAUAAAAGCUUUUAUUUUAGAAUGUAUUUUGCUUUGAAUUAAUGUCAAAAAACCGAACGAAUUAAUGUGACAACCCAAUAAAAAGAAAAUACAUCGUAGGGUUGCCUUUUGAUCUACACCGUUUGGCAUAUCUUUUGAAGAUGAACAUUUACGUCAUAGAUGUUAGGAAAAAGAGAGGGAGAAAGAAAAA